UACUUUUUCUGUUUUUAGGCAGCAAGAAUGAAGCAAGAGAUAGCAAACAGCUGGUUAUGCAAACCGAGGAGGAGGCUCUUCCACGUCAGAGAAAUCCCAAUCCCAGUCUCAGCAUUCCAGUGUUAGCUUUCCCGAUGCUGGAGAGUGAGGACUGGAGACACCCCUGGAGGAUCAAAGCUACCUCACUCACAGGUUUGAACUGUUACCCAGGAAGAAGUUUUAACAGCAGAUACCCACUGCUAUCAAACAGAAGUGACAAAUGAGAAAAAGGAGAGAGAGCAUCCAGCCAAAUGCAGAUGAGAAUAACAGCGAACAAUUUCUUUCUGUGAGAG
Rhea pennata is the source of this 332-nucleotide long non-coding RNA. RefSeq lists it as uncharacterized. NCBI's taxonomy places the organism in Eukaryota, Metazoa, Chordata, Aves, Rheiformes, Rheidae. The transcript is spliced from 4 exons. The record is from RefSeq and is a predicted model, not a curated record.